AUGAAAUGCCUUCUCAGUGCUCUCCAGAACAGUCCCAGGUGUCUCAGCCUUUCCUCAUAAAGGAGAUGUUCCAGAGCCCUCAUCUUUGUGGACCUCUGCUAGACUCUCUAGAAGCUCCAAGUCUUUCUUGAACUGAGGAACCCAAAACUGGACACAGUAUUCUAAAUGCAGUCUCACCAGGGCAGAGCAGGGAGGAUCACCUUCCUCAGCCUGCAGCCCACACUAUUUUUAAUGCGUCUCUGGAUACCUCUGGCUUUCUUGAUCACAAGGGAUUACUGUGACCAGGAGUGAGACAAGGAGAGUGUUUUUUCUGUUGGAAGCAAAGCUUGCUGUCUCAGUUCUUUAUUGGACUGUAAAAUUUCCAGGAACUGCCCAUCUUUGCUACAGACGCACACUGCUCAGCCUUCAGUGUGUCAGGCUGCUCUUCAGAAUGACUCCCAGUGCAGAAUUGAUGUUCUCAGGACUACAGUCAUACUCUGCUGCUGCAGGUAAAAAUAUACAUCAACAUUAUCAGUGAGAAGAAAACAUUUAGCUUAAUUGUAGAGACUAAUUCAGUUCUCUUCCACUUGAGGUAGCUGAUAUUUCCUUAAAAAUCCUGUUUAUGAUUGUAAGCAAAAGCAUUCAAAAGCUCUGAGUCUGACCAAAUUGUUGUGGUGGGUCAAGCAAUACCAAGGAGCACUUCUCAUGAAUUAAUUCCGUGUCACCAUGCUGUUUAUACAAUAAAGAGCAGUAAGGUUUGCCUGGAGACUAGGAAUGUGUCACCUCUCUUUGAAAAUCAUUUGAAAAUUAACGUGCCUUUAAUUUUACAUUCCCUUGG
Molecule: long non-coding RNA, 817 nt
Filed under: Meleagris gallopavo (turkey)
Lineage: Eukaryota; Metazoa; Chordata; Aves; Galliformes; Phasianidae
Description: lncRNA (ENSMGAG00000020826.1)
Source: RNAcentral